Molecule: long non-coding RNA, 1291 nt
Filed under: Ailuropoda melanoleuca (giant panda)
Lineage: Eukaryota; Metazoa; Chordata; Mammalia; Carnivora; Ursidae
Description: lncRNA (ENSAMEG00000024743.1)
Source: RNAcentral
CUGAAAACAGAUCCCCGCCCUUCCCGCCAGGAGCAUCUGGGGCCACGACACAGUGUUUCCCUCUACUCCACCUCACACCUGGGUUAACACCUGGGCCGAUGUCAUUUUUCCACCUUUCAGGUUUACGGUUGUCCCUUCAGUGGAAUCAAAACCACAGAUUUACUCAACGCUGUGGCUCUGGACCAGACAGUGUCCUUGAGCAACAUGGUUCUUCUAUGCUUCCCCCCACCCUUAGCUACCACCUGAAGAUCUGAGCCGGUGGAGAGAACGUGGCUUCUUGGGAGAGAGGCAGAGGCGUGCUGAAAACCCACUGCAGCUGCUCUCCACACCUGGGAUACAUCUCAUCAGGACCUAAUGCGUCAGCUGUCCCAAAACAAGGCGAGAGUCCCUUCCUCGCCCAAGGAAAGCUUCACAGGUGAGGGCAGAGGUUCCUGAAGAGCAAAGUGGGUUCUGGCUGAGGCUGAGUCAGUGAUCAGCUUGGCUGGCCUUUGGCUCUGUCCACCUUGCUUGCUCUGGGGAGGUGCACGGCGUGAAUGGAGAUGCAGAAAUGCUUCGUGAUUCCUGUAUUCCAAGAAGAAAGGUGGUCUGCAGGGUCAUUCUACAACCUCCUUUUGCACAGUCAUCACAAUGCCCUACCAAGCCAAAAAUCCUGUGAGAUCCUUCCUCCAGAAUCAGAGACCAUUUCUCCAGCAAGCUUUUCAACAGGAUUUUAACUCUUCUGUCAGCUGGCAAAAACACUGAACCAGCAGAUUGAAAACACACAGUGGCUCAUCACAGAGGACUCUGUAGGAUUAAGAACUUGGUCGACUGAGUCACUGAUCAGAUUCUGGGCUAAUGCGACAGCAUGUCAGCUGGAGCUGCCCAUUCCGCUACCAGCGGGGCAGUGCUGGCUGGAGUCCUCAUCAUUCCAGUGUGGAGAUGCCCGAAGCCCUCCCUUGGUUGUCCCCCUAUUGUGUGAGGCUGCCCUUCUCACAGCCUCUUCCUCUGGAGUCCCUGUCCUGCAGGGGUGGGAUCUGGACCACAGAGAUGCCUUUCAAACACUGCGGUCACAACAAGCAUGCAUGAAUUCAACUGCCCUAACUGAAGAUUUAGGGAUCCCAGGAAGAAGAUUUGGGGGCCACAGGGAGGUGAGGCCCAGCCUGGAAACUUCCUCUCCUGCUUCUUUAUCCUUGUUUCUCCUCACCUUUCCUUCCAGAAUUCCCUAAGAACUUUCCCUUCAGUGCAUGGAAGAAUUUAGCUGGGUUCCAAGACUCAGACUUGCAGAAACCCUAGUAAAUAAGAUGCUUACAGA